GUGGGGAAUAUUGCGCAAUGGGCGGAAGCCUGACGCAGCGACGCCGCGUGGGGGAUGACGGCCUUCGGGUUGUAAACCUCUUUCAGCAGGGACGAAGCCGUGAGGUGACGGUACCUGCAGAAGAAGCACCGGCCAACUACGUGCCAGCAGCCGCGGUAAUACGUAGGGUGCAAGCGUUGUCCGGAAUUAUUGGGCGUAAAGAGCUCGUAGGCGGUUUGUUGCGUCGGCUGUGAAAUCCCGAGGCUCAACCUCGGGUCUGCAGUCGAUACGAGCAAACUGGAGUGUUGCAGGGGAGACUGGAAUUCCUGGUGUAGCGGUGAAAUGCGCAGAUAUCAGGAGGAACACCGGUGGCGAAGACGGGUCUCUGGGCAACAACUGACGCUGAGGAGCGAAAGCGUGGGGAGCGAACAGGAUUAGAUACCCUGGUAGUCCACGCCGUAAACGUUGGGCGCUAGGUGUGGGGCUCAUUCCACGAGUUCCGUGCCGCAGCUAACGCAUUAAGCGCCCCGCCUGGGGAGUACGGCCGCAAGGC
This 532-nucleotide ribosomal RNA is filed under the name uncultured Blastococcus sp. Its description in RNAcentral is "bacterial SSU rRNA". It matches the Rfam family "Bacterial small subunit ribosomal RNA", at positions 354 to 894 of the family's 1533-position model. Lineage: Bacteria; Bacillati; Actinomycetota; Actinomycetes; Geodermatophilales; Geodermatophilaceae. The record is from RNAcentral.